GGCGGAUUCGUCUAAAAGGUUAGGACGUUAGCCUCUCAAGCUAGAAAUGUUGAGUUCGAAUCUCACAUCCGUCA
This 74-nucleotide transfer RNA is filed under the name Eubacterium sp. RNAcentral describes it as "tRNA-Glu". It matches the Rfam family "tRNA". From Rfam's summary of the family: Transfer RNA (tRNA) molecules are approximately 80 nucleotides in length. Their secondary structure includes four short double-helical elements and three loops (D, anti-codon, and T loops). Further hydrogen bonds mediate the characteristic L-shaped molecular structure. tRNAs have two regions of fundamental functional importance: the anti-codon, which is responsible for specific mRNA codon recognition, and the 3' end, to which the tRNAs corresponding amino acid is attached (by aminoacyl-tRNA synthetases). tRNAs cope with the degeneracy of the genetic code in two manners: having more than one tRNA (with a specific anti-codon) for a particular amino acid; and 'wobble' base-pairing, i.e. permitting non-standard base-pairing at the 3rd anti-codon position. The record is from RNAcentral. Lineage: Bacteria; Bacillati; Bacillota; Clostridia; Eubacteriales; Eubacteriaceae.